AUAAGAUUUGAAUAAAAAGCAAAAGUCUUUGAGUCCCUGCUAUGCACUAGGUACUGUACCAGAGCUGAGGGCUAUCUUCACUAUAUCUGCUCACUGGCAGCCUGAAACUUCAGUUUCAAAGACAGGCCUGGAUCAUUCUUCACCAGAGAAACACAGAAGUAUGUUUCUAUCACUGAUGCUCCAUCUUUAAAACAUCACUGAUCUGAGUUUCACACAUCCUGUCUCUGAAAGAGACAAGAUAUAGGGUGUUUGCUA
RNAcentral lists this long non-coding RNA (255 nucleotides) under Pan troglodytes (chimpanzee). Its description in RNAcentral is "long non-coding RNA NONPTRT016822". Lineage: Eukaryota; Metazoa; Chordata; Mammalia; Primates; Hominidae. The record is from RNAcentral.